RNAcentral lists this ribosomal RNA (468 nucleotides) under uncultured bacterium. Its description in RNAcentral is "partial 16S ribosomal RNA". It matches the Rfam family "Bacterial small subunit ribosomal RNA", at positions 28 to 507 of the family's 1533-position model. The record is from RNAcentral.
GACGAACGCUGGCGGCGUGCUUAACACAUGCAAGUCGAACGGAAAGGCCCUGCUUUUGUGGGGUGCUCGAGUGGCGAACGGGUGAGUAACACGUGAGUAACCUGCCCUUGACUUUGGGAUAACUUCAGGAAACUGGGGCUAAUACCGGAUAGGAGCUCCUGCUGCAUGGUGGGGGUUGGAACGUUUCGGCUGUUGGUGAUGUACUCGCGGGUUAUGAGCUUGUUGGUGGGGUAGUGGCUUACCAAGGCUUUGACGGGUAGCCGGCCUGAGAGGGUGACCGGCGACAAUGGGACUGAGAGACGGCCCAGACUGCAACGGGAGGCAGCGGGGGGAAAUAUUGCACAAUGGGCGGAAGCCUGAUGCAGAAACGCCGCGUGCGGGAUGACGGGCUUCGGGUUGUAAACCGCUUUCGCCUGUGACGAAGCGUGAGUGACGGUAAUGGGAAAAGAAGCACCGGCUAACUACGUG